UCUACUGCUUUGCGGUACUCAGGAAGAGACCUGCCAGCCUGACGCAUUAGCCAGAUAGGCACUCUUCCACCCGGCUCAUUUCUCUUAAUAAUUUUCGCUAUUGUUGUUUUGCCGCUUUCCAAUCUAUUCUAUUUAUUCUUUUGUAUAUUAAAGUAUAGUAAUAAUAAUAGUUCUAUCAAUAACUUGUUACUAACUUAAAAUUCAGUAAAAAUUGGCGUUGUUCAACUUGUGGAUAAAUAUGGAAUAAAUUGAGUAAAAAAAGAACCUUAGUAGAAAAAAUAGCAUAUAGAAUUUUUCUCUUCCUUUUCAAAAAAGCUUCUGUGUUGAAAAAGUGUGCGACUGAGGCAUUAAUGAAAGAUCUGCCAGACCUUAAUAUAUUUAAUGGUCUAUUAAAAUUCCGCGAUUGUGGUAUAAUGGAUAUAAUGACUCCACGUACAGAGAUAUGCGCAGUAGACAUUGAGUCAAGCGAGCGUGAAAUAAUAAAGAAGAUAAAAAACACUUGCCACACUAAAAUACCAAUUUAUAAAAAUAACUUUGAUAACGUAAUAGGCUUUUUUUAUGUAAAAGAUGUUAUUUUUAAUAGGGAUAAAAAUUUUAAUCUGAAACAUAUUAUACAAAGCGUAAUAUUUGUUCCACCCUCGAUGAAGACAACUAAUCUUUUUGUUAGGAUGAACUCUUCUAAAUCAUGCUUAGCUAUCGUAUUGGAUGAAUAUGGUGGAACUGAUGGUUUAAUUUCAAUGACUGAUCUUAUAGAGGAACUAAUACCAAACAUUGAUAGUGAAAACGAAAUAAAUUCAGAAUAUACCAUUACUGAAUUGUCUCAAAAUAAGUUUGAAGUAUCAGCAAGGGCUCUUAUAAAAGAUAUAGAAGAGGAUCUAAAAAUAGAAUUACGUGACCCUGAAGAAGACUAUGUUACACUUGGUGGUUUGAUUCUUUCGAUUGCUGGUAAAGUGCCUUCUGUAGAUGAAGUCAUUAAAUAUAAAAAUGGUAUGAAGUUUAUCAUCAAAGAUGCAAAUGAGCGCUACAUUAAUAAAAUAGUACUAGACUUAAGUGAUUACAAAAAUUAGAUUUGGUACCCCUUGUCGGGGAAUGCCUUGACACGAAGAAAAAGUUGUAAUAACCAAAUAUGCAACUCAAGUUAUAGUUAAACCUAUUUCCAGCAAAUUAUUUUCGCAAGUAUAAUGCAUUUCAGUGUUAUAGUACUCUAAUAAUAAAGAGGUCAUAUAGAUAUUAAUAUCUUUUGUA
This is a long non-coding RNA of Drosophila ananassae, 1245 nucleotides long. RefSeq lists it as uncharacterized. Lineage: Eukaryota; Metazoa; Arthropoda; Insecta; Diptera; Drosophilidae. The record is from RefSeq and is a predicted model, not a curated record. The transcript has 2 exons.